RNAcentral lists this long non-coding RNA (1219 nucleotides) under Vulpes vulpes (red fox). RNAcentral describes it as "lncRNA (ENSVVUG00000004414.1)". Lineage: Eukaryota; Metazoa; Chordata; Mammalia; Carnivora; Canidae. The record is from RNAcentral.
CAACCACUGAACCAUGUAGCGUCCCUACCUUAACACUUUAAAUGUAAGCACCUGUCCAUAUAAUUUAAUAAUUAUUGAAAACAUGAUUUUUUUUUACUGUUGCACAAUAUCUCACCAUAGGUGUUACCAUGCAAUGAAAUAUGGAGUGGAUCCCUGGAUCUGUCUCAGAAGCAGAUUGAUCAGUGACUAGAACAGAACAGCACCUACCUCACUGAAUGCUUUGAUCUGUUCCUAAUUGUUACAACAGCAUCCGGCACCGAGAAAUAAAUGACAUAAAUAAGUAAAAACAAUUGUCAUUAUUUGUACAAAGGUUUGUUGCAUAAAUAUCUUAUGUUUAGCUUGACUUGAACUUUGCACUAUUAUAGGUAAGGAUCUGUGAACAUAUUUUGGACACAAAUCUGUGCUUCUCACAAUUUUAAGACGUAAUUCUGGAAGGUAUGACCACAGAUCAUUGAAAUGCAUAUUUUUUUGGAUUUAAUGGAAAACACAGGUAGUGUUGGAAAAUAUCCCCUUAAGACUUUUAAAAUUAUUAAGAUUCCUCAUUAUCAACUGUUAAUUUGGGAUACUGAGGUGUGAGGAUGAACACUAGAGAGUCUGAAAACUUGGAUUAUGAGCUUAGUUCUGCAGCUCGCUGGCUGAGUUAACUUAAGAUACUAAGUAAGCCAUUCUGAGCCUCAGUUUCCUAACCUUAUAGAGCUGUCAAAAGCAAAUAAUAGUUACCUUUUAGUGGGAGUGUACUGUGCUUCAAGACCCUUUAGUAUAUUGUCUCAAUCCACAAAACAACUGUGAGAAGGAGAUAGUUUAACUUCUUGGUCACAGGUGCAUUUCCUGAGGCCAUGUGAGGUUAACUAGUCUGUCUGUGAACACAGGUUCUUUCCUCUCAUCCUGUUGGCCCCUGUCUCCAAAAACUCUAGAGGAGUCUAAAGUGUCAUUUUAUUACUGUCUGUAAAGUUUUGCUAUUUUCCUAAUGUGACUGCCAGGUCCAGAAUUUUCUAUGGUGACUGCCACUUCCAGACCAAUACCACUAGGGGGAAGCAGAAACCUUUUUAACCUUUUUAUACAACUGUGUCCAGAAUGUCAAGGAGGAAGAAGAGAGGAAGGGAAAGAAGAAAGGGAAGUAUAGGACCUCAGUGUUGGGAAAGCUUUGUUUUCAUCAUCUACCCACUGUGAAUUUCCUCCUCAACAUUCUGGACAGAACACUUCCAUUGUGUGUUCCUAG